This 495-nucleotide ribosomal RNA is filed under the name uncultured bacterium. Its description in RNAcentral is "partial 16S ribosomal RNA". It matches the Rfam family "Bacterial small subunit ribosomal RNA", at positions 28 to 507 of the family's 1533-position model. The record is from RNAcentral.
GACGAACGCUGGCGGCGUGCCUAAUACAUGCAAGUAGAACGCUGAAGGAGGAGCUUGCUUCUCUGGAUGAGUUGCGAACGGGUGAGUAACGCGUAGGUAACCUGCCUGGUAGCGGGGGAGAACUAUUGGAAACGAUAGCUAAUACCGCAUAAUAGUAGAUGUUGCAUGACAUUUGCCUAAAAGGUGCAAUUGCAUCACUACCAGAUGGCCCUGCGUUGUAUUAGCUAGUUGGUGGGGUAACGGCUCACCAAGGCGACGAUACAUAGCCGACCUGAGAGGGUGAUCGGCCACACUGGGACUGAGACACGGCCCAGACUCCUACGGGAGGCAGCAGUAGGGAAUCUUCGGCAAUAGACGGAAGUCUGACCGAGCAACGCCGCGUGAGUGAAGAAGGUUUUCGGAUCGUAAAGCUCUGUUGUAAGAGAAGAAAGAGUGUGAGAGUGGAAAGUUCACACUGUGACGGUAUCUUACCAGAAAGGGACGGCUAACUACGUG